RNAcentral lists this long non-coding RNA (560 nucleotides) under Sinocyclocheilus anshuiensis. RNAcentral's name for it is "lncRNA (ENSSANG00000033197.1)". Lineage: Eukaryota; Metazoa; Chordata; Actinopteri; Cypriniformes; Cyprinidae. The record is from RNAcentral.
GUCCUCUUUUGGAAGGCCAAACAAAGUAGUUUCGCUUUCACAACGAAACACAGCGUCACACACGGCGGGCUAGAGUGAGCGGAGGCCGGAGGCCUAGAGUGAGCGGCGGCCGGCUUCAAUAAUAUCCAGCUGCAGCCCCGCAGCCCCACACGUUUCAGGACACACAAUCCAGACCACACGAUCCAGGCCGGAAGUGAGGGGCGGAGUUAGUAAAACGUAACAACAUGGCGGAGAGCAGGGGAAUGGAUGUGUGGACAGCUGACGCAUAUGUUGUGGCUACCUGGUUACCUCCAAAUAAUUUGGACCCAUCACUGUCUUUUCCAGUAAGGCCAUAAAGUUACAUCACAUUCAUAAUACUGAAAAUGUAAUUUAAAUCUGACUUAAAAAAAACUUUUUAUUAAAAAAAAUGUAUUUUAAAAUUAUCUAUAGGAUCACAUUGCAUUCAAAGAUGCUAUUGUCUUUCCUGCUUGGAAGCCAGGACACUGGAUGUUGUGUGUAAGUUAUAUGGAAUUUGGUUACUAAAUAUAUAAUUGCAUCUGUAAAUUGCCUUCAUUUGUCUU